Non-coding RNA from Podarcis lilfordi (Lilford's wall lizard), 6925 nucleotides. NCBI's taxonomy places the organism in Eukaryota, Metazoa, Chordata, Lepidosauria, Squamata, Lacertidae. The record is from the annotation of a GenBank genome assembly.
CUGGGAAACGCCAUGGCUGACUGACCUUACAGAACGGCAAAAGGGUUCCUCUAUUCCUAUGGGCCUUUCCCCAUCCAUUCUAAAUGAGGUGAGUAUUUCAUGACUGGCCGGGAAGACAAAAGAGCAAAUAUGCCGGUCAUUCAUUCAACCUGCUCUUUAGGAGAGGGGACCCCAGCAGAUGUAUCUUGGGUUUCUGCUGAAUAAUCAGGAAAGGCAAUAGGAGGUUAUCUCUGGAAACUUUUAUCACUUCUUUUAGGCGGCUCAGGUUCACGGGCCGAAGAUGUGAGAAAAGAACUCUGGAGACAGAAAGCAAUUAGCAACUGAUAGACCAAGAUCGCUGGUCAUAUUGUGGCACACCAUUGCUAAUGCUAUUUUGCUGAGGGUGGAGGUGAGGUUCAGUGCCAAAUUUACGUAUAAGCUAAACAAGCUAUAGCUGAGGGCAUGGGUAGGCAACCUAAGGCCCGGGGGCCAGAUCUGGCCCAAUCGCCUUCUAAAUCCGGCCCACGGACGGUCCAGGAAUCAGGGUGUUUUUACAUGAGUAGAAUGUGUCCUUUUAUUUAAAAUGCAUCUCUGGGUUAUGUGUGGGGCAUAGGAAUUUGUUCUUUCUUUUUUUCCUUUUCAAAAUAUAAUCCGGCCCCCCACAAGGUCUGAGGGACAGUGGACCGGCCCCCUGCUGAAAAGGUUUGCUGACCCCUGGCUUAGGGCCUCACUCUCUUGGGGGGUCCCCAAAAAAAUUAAAGGGGAAAGAAACCUGGAUGUACAUUUCCAAAAUAUAAGAUAAAAAACAAAUAAAAUAAAACCUACAUACAGUAACAGUGUUUCAUGGCUCCUAUGAUGUACGUAAAGGGCCCCGCCUGCUAGCCUUCUCCCUAAAAUAUCACUGCUUUGCUCAUUUCUAUAUAUAGGGUACCUACAUUUUGCAUGAACUUUGCAUUCUGCAUAGACUUUUCAACAAUUGCUUUGAUAAAAUACAUAUUCCAUUAUGUGCAAAUGGCUUUAGAUACCUAUUAGGUCCAUACAUUAUCAUAUAGCAUAUAUUCAACACAAAAAAUAGCAACAAUUUGUUGUUGACAAAGGACAGCUGGACAUAGAAAGGGCCCCAUUACCUUCAGUAGCUUAAGGCCUCAUCAAACCUAAAUCUGGCCCUGGUGAGCUUAGUUAGCAAGGAAGCAAUUCUAUGGCUCCAAGACAGCGAGCUGAAGGCCAGACUGGAUCCUAUAGACCUCCCUCUCCCUGGUGCUUCCACCUUCCCAACAGUGGAUCAUGUACCGCAAUGGUGGGGGCACAACAGUAGUGAGAUUGGAGUUGUGUGGGUGCACAGGCAAAGUCAAUCCUAUGCUUCUACCAUUGCACUCACAAAGCCCUGGCACUGACAUCCUGGUAAGCUGCAGGAACCUCACUGUCAGGAGAGCAGGUGGCGCUGUGGUCUAAACCACUGAGCCUCUUGGGCUUGCCAAUCAGAAGGUCGGCGGUUCGAAUCCCCAUGAUGGAGUGAACUCCCAUUGCUCUGUCUCAGCUUCUGCCGACCUAGAAGUUUGAAAGCACGCCAGUGCAAGUAGAUAAAUAGGUACCGCUGUGGCGGGACAGCAAAUGGCGUUUCUGUGUGCACUGGUUUCCGUCACGGUGUUCUGUUGCACCAGAAGCGGUUUAGUCCUGCUGGCCACAUGACCCAGAAAAGUGAGAUGAGUGCCGUACCCCAUAGUCGCCUUUGACUGGACUUAACUGUCCAGGGGUCCUUUACCUUUACCUUACCUAGUACAGCAUCACCCUACCCCCUGCAUGGACCUUUCCUACUUCAAAGCUUUGAUGUGUGAGGCACUGCAGAAUUCCACCUUGUGCCCCAUCCUUUUUAACACCUACCUGUCACAGACUGGUUGGAUGCAGAGGAAAAGUGGCAGGUACCAGCCGGGGAACCACCAAGGGAAGAAGGCUCUGAGACUGGGAAGAGGAGGUGGGAUGACAGUGAGUGGUCAGAGGGAGAAGACUGGGGAGAGGUGGUGUUGGAAGCUGAAGAGGUAACAGGGCUUAGUGAGCAGAGAGAGUCUGUGGCAGAGAGAAGUCCGGAAUCAGAGCCAGAAGCUGAAACAGGAAAGUGCAAGGAGGGUGGCCAAGAAGCAGAGAUGAGUCUGGCUGGUGAAGAGUCACAGGUGUCUCCCCUUCCUUCUGAGACAAGCUCCCCUCCUCGCUUGUCUCCCAGAACCAGUAGAGGGCUGAAACGGGCAGAGGAAAGGUUGGCUGCAUCCAGAAGCAGUCUCUGAUUGCUUGGGGAAAUCCCUGGAGAGGCGAGGACCUAGAUGGCAGGGACUUUCAGUUUCGGCAACUGGAGUAAGACCACUGGGAAUAAGCUGCUCUGCUUAUUAGGCCUGACACUCAACCAAGUCUGUGGAAAUCGUGGUUUUGCUAAUAUAGAGUUAACUCCAACUUUUAACUGUGUGAUUACUGACUGACAUGCUCCUGUGACCCUACCUGAUGCUUUUUGGAGAGAUCAUCUGGAAAUUUGGAGUGAGGUGUCUAUCAUCAAUGUACCUAUCAUUUACAUCCAUAGUCUAGCUCAGGGGUCAGCAAACUUUUUCAGCAGGGGCUGGUCCACUGUCCCUCAGACCUUGUGUGGGGCCAGACUAUCUUUUGAAAAAAUAAAUAAAUGAAUGAAUUCCUAUGCCCCACAAAUAACCCAGAGAUGCAUUUUAAAUAAAAGCACACAUUCUACAUGUGUAAAAACACCAGGCAGGCCCCACAAAUAACCCAGAGAUACAUUUUAAAUAAAAGGACACAUUCUACUCAUGUAAAAACAUGCUGAUUCGCGGACCGUCUGUGGGCCGGAUUUAGAAGGUGAUUGGGCUGGAUCCGGCCCCUGGGCCUUAGUUUGCCUACCCAUGGUCUAGCCUUUCAUUGGUGUCAGUUAUUACAGAGCCCUAGGAACCUACUCACUUCUAAACUGUCUCCACCAAAUGAAUAAUAUAUAAAUGUUUCGUGUGCAUUCCCCGCCCCCAGAUGCUUGAAGACCUGAGGUGUGAAAAGCAUCCAGACUGUACGGCUAAAUAGGCACUUGCAAUUAAAGAGUGUGUAUGGAAAUCAGAGUGAGAAAUUCAGAACCAAAAAAGAAAGUGGAUUCGUACAGGCUGAUGAGAGGUUUGCUGUGAUUGUUUUCUCCCCUUGAGAGAUUUCAACUGGUGCAAGGUUACAUCCACUUAAGAGGCAGUGAUCCGCUAUUCAUAUCAAUGUCAGUUUUGAAGAACUCUCUGAGCAAGAGCAAGCAUUGACUGACAUGCCACAGAUUAAUUUGACUUCUGUGUUGAUCUGGCAAAGACAGCUCUUCUCUUUCCCCCUCUGAUAUGCCAAUGUCUUUCAUCACAAGUCCUGUCACAAUGCAGAAAUCCUGACAGAAAACACAUUCCUCCCCCCCCCCCGACAUCUUUAUUGAAAGUUUAAAAAUUCAUAAUUUUAAUUGAAAUUGUUCUGUGUCCGGAAUGGUUUGUGUUUUGCUUUGUUAGUUUUAUGUUUUUCUUUUUUUCCCUUUUUUUGUCUUUCUGUGUUGUUGUGUUUAAAUGGUUGAAAAUUAAUAAAUAUUAUUUUUUUAAAAAAAUAAAAAUUCAUAAUUUUAUGUGCAGUAAACAUGGUGAGACAUAAAUAAAAGAGAGAAAAAGAAAAAGAGAAACAGCACUCAUGUAGAAGGGAAAGUAAAGGGGACAGAAUCCAAAACUGUAUACUUCACAAAGUUGUUAUUGUACUUCACAGAAAACGUAUUCCUAAUGGUUACUUUGCUUCUCAAAUAAGGUGGUCUAGCCCCUCAUUGAAGGGAUCUUUAGAAACUUGGCCCUCCAGAUGUUUUGGGACUACAACUCCCACCAUCCCUAGCUAACAGGACCAGUGGUCAGGGGUGAAGGGAAUUGUAGCCCCAAAACAUCUGGAGAGCCAAGUUUGGCCAUGCCUGCUAGACAAACCUUAGCUGUCAUAUCUAAUGUAACUGGCUUAGCUCUAAGAGGGUAAACUUUGCCUGCGCAGUGUCACGUGUCUCUGAAUGUUGUUUUUUUCUAGUUUUAUCAAUGGGCUAAGGAUGUUUUAUCAACGAGGAAGCAUUUCAUUCAGUGCCUUCUAGAGAAACCUCCAGACUGGUCUUUAUUGUGGGAUGCUGGUUCCUUACGCACGCACGUUUUUUGCAGCAUCAAUGUGAUGUUGUCAGCAUCAAAAUGGCAUCCUGUUCCCCACCCCACCCCACCCCCAUUUUAUCCUGAUUUAUCCUUUCUAGGGAAAUCUGAUAAAUUGUCAGCUGGCCCAUUUGUGAUAUCUCAAUAACCUUUCUGCAAAUUAAGCCCUCCACCUCACUCCUGCCCGUACCUUUCAAUCUAGAAGCACACUAGGAUUAUUGUCCUCAAUCAUAUCACCACAAUGCUCCCACCUAGGAUAUGAAAGAAAAGAUUUUAUAUUAAACAGGAGGGUCUAACUACAGCUGGAAAUUGCUAAUAGAAACAUGUAUUUGGUACUGCAAUCGAUCUGUUGCUAGAACUGAAUUUUAAAUGUGUUCGAAAUACAACUUCCUCCUUCCUUCCUCGCUUUCCUCUGCAGUGGUGUUUGGAAGGAGGAAGGCUUUUUUCCUUUUUUUUUUCAAGGCAGGGAAAUUAACAGUGUGCCAGGGCACUGGGCACAAGGUGACCAGGGGAAGGUGGCAUUUCCUGGGCAAUUCUGUCAUGCCGCUCAGGAAAACUCGGCAGACUACCAGCUUCAUUCUGCAGACCAGUGCAUAUUUCCUGCCAAAUAUAGGACGGUCAUUCACAGAGGAUUCAUAGGAUAUCCAUCUUUUGUCUUUAAAAGAAUAUAUGGUUUACUAAACACUGGAAAAACCCCGUUCCUUUGCUGUGAACUUUAACAUGUUUUUUCCCCUUCUAUCAUAUCCUGAGCCCAGCCAGUAAUUAAAAAAUCAGAUGAGGGUAAAGGAAAGCCAAGCAAAGAGUUAUAUUAAGACAGGCUUCCUCAACCUCGGCCCUCCAGAUGUUUUUGGCCUACAACUCCCAUGAUCCCUAGCUAGCAGGACCAGUGGUCAGGGAUGCUGGGAAUUGUAGUCUCAAAACAUUUGGAGGGCUGAGAUUGAGGAAGACAACAAUUUGAGCCAAAGGAAUUGCUCCCAUUACAUCUUGGGGCACGGCCCAGCUUUUCAUAUGGACAAAAAACAUCUCUUGAUGCCCUCCGUUAUUUGUACACUCCCCUCCAGACCGUGUCAGAUGGCCGCCCAAGGCUACAGAGGCCAGCUGGAGAAAAGUGUGAGGAACAACAAGGUGUUGAAGGAGAUCUGUUUGUGUUUGUUCUCCAGCACAGUGGGGAAGAGCACUGUGGCACUGCUUAAUUGUUGGUCUGAACAUCCCUGACUGGUCCCAAGACACUAUCUAUACUCCAAAUGGUGGUUCGCAUCGUCCAACUGGGCACAUUUAUAGACCUUGUGUGCCUAUUUUCCAGGGACAGCCCCCGAUUUACAGAAACUGUCCCGGUUUCUGAUUUGAUCCAAGAACAUCCCGCUUUUCCACAGGACGUCCCUGACACGAGUCAGCUCCUCCUGAAAUUUACCUCAGGAAAUGGGAAACAUCACUAAGCAUUCCGCUUGAGUCCCAUAAAGAAAGCUUCUCAGCUUCUCAGCUUUACCCAGCCUGCUUACCACCACCACCCCCGAAUACCUGGCACAGGCAUGGCAUUUCCAUCAGAGAAAAGUUGGCGCGUAUGGAGUUAUGCAACUCCCGAGUCAAGGAGAUAAGUAACUGUACAACCUUUAGAAGACCUGUGAAGGCAACCCUGUAUAAGGAUUUUUUUUAAUGUUUAAUGUUUUAUUAUGUUUGAAGCCACCCAGAGUGUCUGAGGCAACCCGGUCAGAUGGGGGGGGGGGAUAAAUAAUAAAAUUGUUAUUGUUGUUGUUAUUGUUAUUGCCAUCAUCACUAUUAUGGAAUAGGACGUCCCUAUUUUCAUUGGAGAAAUGUUGGAGUGUGUGCAUUUAUCUCAAUAAACCUAAACCCUGAAAUUAGCUCAGCCCUCACAAUCUCAUAAAUGUCAGGAAUUAAUCCCUGCCUCCUCCCUGCACUGCAUUCUAGAGAUUCUUUUCCUUAUCAGGUCUAGAAAUGAGAAACCUAACAUUAGAUGCCACGGAGAACUCCUCUCAUCUCUUCUCAAGGGUCAGGGCUGAGCAUUACAUACAACCUUUGGACAAAAAUGCAUGGCAAGGACAGGAGAGCAAAAUUGUGCUGACUAUAUUGGCUAUUGAUGUUUUUUUUCUCUGAGGAAUUGUUAGCCCUUUGGCCUUGCGUCAUCAUUUCUCUCAGGGCUGCUGAAAUGAAAAGUCUGCUUUGUUUGGUAAUGGCUAUGACUGUUAGCCAUCGACUCCAAAAGCAACCUUCUUCCACGAUGCAUUUGCUGUGCCAAUUAAAUAGCUGGAAUAUAACUCCUUUUGGUGCAACCCAAACGCCACUUUCUGGGGUAACAAAAAAAAUAUAUUGCUGACAGAUGGCUCGUGUUGCUUUGUGAUAUUUUACCUUCACUGCUUUGUGAUAUUUUACUGGAGUUUAUUUCUUCCUGGGUCAAAAGGGUUGGCGAAAAGGCUGGACCACAACUUGCCAAAUUUCUUUCGAAAUAAUGAGGAUGAUGGAAAACGAGCGAGGUCCCAACUAAAGAAGAAUGGCAACUUAAACUGAUGGAAUACGCACAGCUGGCAGACUUAAUUUACAGAAUAAGAGAACAAGAAGAAUGUACGUUUAAAGGAGAGUGGAAAACGUUUAAUGAAUAUAUGGGUGAAAAUUGUGUACGUUUGAAAACGUUGGCAGCAUUAGGACAAAUUCACCAGUGUAAAUAAGUUUUGAUGGAUGUAAAAAUGGAAUACGGAAUGGCUGAGUUUAUGUAAAAUAUGCAGGGAUCUAUGGCAUGCAAAUUGAACCAUGGAAGGAGAAGAAGG